GACCAUGUCUCCAAGCAGCAGAGAGACGAAGCAGAGACUGACGUCAAGCGGCCAGCCUUGGGCCUUGUCGUGUGUGCGGCGUCUGUUCAGGCCAGCCGACAAAAUCUGGAGAGCCACGACGCCCGCUGCGAGGCCGCGCGACAUACCGAGCGAGCUCCACGCGCUGACGCCGGCCUCGUAUGGCCGAACCGACGCCUAAUUAGCAAGAGGAUAGAAUUAGAAACACACGCGCUAUGACAUUUCACGCGUUCAAGUGGAGAGUACGGUCAUUCCAAUCUUUCCACCGGACUUGUCAGUACUCGAAGGAACCGGCACUGCUGGAUCCCCGAAACAACAGGCCACGGUCACGUGUGGGUCUCAGCGUGAACCGGACCGGGACUUGACCCCGGAGCGGCACUGAAACUCCAAUGACCUCAUGAGGCACAAGAGGAGAGAGGACUUAUCCCUCUGGCAAAACAAGCUGCUCAGAGCUCAGAGUUUCAAAAAAAAAAAAAAAAUUCUGGGAGAAGUGUCGUCUCCAGACAGCUUGAAAUGCUGCAAAGCUGGAAGGCAAGCGUACAUGAGACAAAAAAGAAAAAAAAAUAACUAACAUGCUGGAACACAGACAUCCUGUUAGUAGUGAUUUAAGGCAUGAGGGGACUCUGGGAAAUAUACCUCAUGAUAAAAAUUUUAUAUCCUUUAUGUAGUUGGAGCCAGGAAGCUGUUGAGCGUAAGGGAUUGGGGCGGGAGGGAAAACAGGUAGACGGAGUCUGGUGGAAUCUCAGAAAUGCGUCCGAAGCUCCCUGUGGAAAGACACAGCAGAACUGGCACUUUUAGCUCUGUGAUGAUGCAACGCCACGAGCCUGAGGUGAAAGAUUCAGGGUUUCCACUGCAGGAGAACAGAUUAGAAGCAGAACAAUCAUAAAGGUGGGACCAGGCUUUCCCCUUCAUUUUAUUUUUCUUAAUUUUUUUAAUUUGGUGAUUUAUAAACCCUACUGCUCUUUAACUACAAAAUAAAUGGUACGUGUCAAAUAGCAGAGGUUAUAUUAAGCUCACCAAGAUAGGAUAAAGUAUGAAUAUAGAAAAGAAGUAAGAGAGAAAUGUUAUUUUUGGUGAAAUAUCAACGUGGGUCAAUCUGUUGACAGGAGGGUUGUCGGUUUAAACCGUUACAAAUCUGAUCUUUGACCGAACGAAAACGGUUGUUGAAAGCCACAGCCAUGUAAGUGAUCAAUCCAGUGGAAAUGCAAGUUCCACAAAUAUAGAUAUUUUGGGAAAAGAAAAAAGAGCGUUGGGGGGGGAAAAAAACGAACAUGGAGCAUUAGCCUGAGCAUGCCAUUCCCACUGUGAGACACGGUGGUGGCAGCGUCAUGCUGUGGGUGUGAUGGGAGAACAAUUCAUCCUUCAACUGGACCAUGAACGUAGACAUACAGUGUAUUCACUGACACUCUCCAUACAAGUUUGAGCAAUUUAAAAAAAAGAAGAUAAAUAAAAAUGUGAAUCGAAGUCGCAAGAAAUCACAAGAAAUGCGCCAAAGUUUGCGGCUGUGAUGUGACAACAUGUUGAAGCAGUUUGAGGGGUGUGAAUACUUUUCUCAAAAUUUUGUUUACGUUCUUUGCCAAUAAUAUCCAGCCGACAGAAUGACCUCUUUUUGUUCUUAUCAAUUUAAAACCCAAUAAACUGCAUGCCAAUGGACACAUUUUAUGUAAACUAA
Molecule: long non-coding RNA, 1690 nt
Organism: Xiphophorus couchianus (Monterrey platyfish)
Lineage: Eukaryota; Metazoa; Chordata; Actinopteri; Cyprinodontiformes; Poeciliidae
Exons: 2
Source: RefSeq, a predicted model, not a curated record